This is a long non-coding RNA of Phyllostomus discolor (pale spear-nosed bat), 707 nucleotides long. RefSeq lists it as uncharacterized. The transcript has 2 exons. The record is from RefSeq and is a predicted model, not a curated record. Lineage: Eukaryota; Metazoa; Chordata; Mammalia; Chiroptera; Phyllostomidae.
AGGACGCAUGCGGAACACGGCCCGCCCUAGGCCUUCGCGAGAUUAGUCGCGCUGACUCAAUUUAAUCUUGACCCCUAUUCCUCCAUUUUGGUUCUCUCCCGGGCGCCGGGGAAGGGGCGUGGUCUAGAAUUAGCCCCUCCUGCGUGGGCGUGGCCUGGAUGGGCUACGGGAAGUGGCCGGUCAGACCAAAUUCCAAGUUACUACUCCUUCUUCCCCCUGCUUUGAAGGACCUUAAAAUCUUUGGCAAACAGUUAUUUACAGGUGGGGACAGCACCCCUAAACCGUGUGUGGGUGACGUCCGCCAAGGCCCGCCUCCCUCCUCCCGGCCUAUAGGAGCCGGGCGAGCAACGUUACCAUAGCAACGGGCCCACCGGGACCUGCUCGAGUUACAAGAAGGACGCGGGCUCCCGUGGGCAAAGUAUCCGGCGACCAUAGGCGUCGCCCAGCCUUCCGAAGAGCUCCAAGACUUGGCGGACGCUAAGCAGGGUCGGCAGAUUUUCGGUGCGAGAGCAACGGAGCCCAAGCCUAGCCUAGGAGGACUCUAAGACACCCCUACCCCCACCCUCCUUAAUAAGGCUCUUUGCCAGCGCCUGUCCUUGGCAUCAUUUAACCAGGCUGAGAUGCAUCGCUGCCUCGUGGCCUCCAGCAGUGCGAAAGAAGACAAAGCACUGAGCUCCUGCACGCGCCUACCAACUCCCGGUCCCGGA